RNAcentral lists this transfer RNA (68 nucleotides) under Imshaugia aleurites. RNAcentral describes it as "tRNA-Trp". The stretch from base 5 to 60 matches the Rfam family "tRNA", at positions 9 to 63 of the family's 71-position model. Rfam says of the family: Transfer RNA (tRNA) molecules are approximately 80 nucleotides in length. Their secondary structure includes four short double-helical elements and three loops (D, anti-codon, and T loops). Lineage: Eukaryota; Fungi; Ascomycota; Lecanoromycetes; Lecanorales; Parmeliaceae. The record is from RNAcentral.
GCGCAGCGCAACGGUAGCGCGUUCGACUCCAGAUCGAAAGGUUAUCUGUUCAAAUCAGGUGUGGCUCA